GUGCAUGUCCUGCGGUACUCGGCUUCGGAUGCUGACGAGUGGCCAACGGGUUAUGGCCCAUCGGAACGUGCCCGCACUUGGGGUAUAACUAGGCGAAUCCUUUGUUUGGCCGACCGCGAUCUAUGGAAAAACCAGGGCUGACCGAGGGCGUCGGUGCCAGCCACCCCGGUCAAGCAAAUUAGGUAGUUGGUGGGAUAAAAGCUUACCAAGCCGACGAUCUGUAGCUGGUCUGAGAGGACGACCAGCCACACUGGGACUGAGACACGGCCCAGACUCCUACGGGAGGCAGCAGUGGGGAAUUUUGGACAAUGGGCGAAAGCCUGAUCCAGCAAUGCCGCGUGCAGGAUGAAGGCCUUCGGGUUGUAAACUGCUUUUGUACGGAACGAAAAGGCUCUGGCUAAUACCUGGGGCACAUGACGGUACCGUAAGAAUAAGCACCGGCUAACUACAUGCCAGCC
This 458-nucleotide ribosomal RNA is filed under the name Betaproteobacteria bacterium. RNAcentral's name for it is "bacterial SSU rRNA". It matches the Rfam family "Bacterial small subunit ribosomal RNA", at positions 55 to 513 of the family's 1533-position model. The record is from RNAcentral. Lineage: Bacteria; Pseudomonadati; Pseudomonadota; Betaproteobacteria.